This 83-nucleotide transfer RNA is filed under the name Bacteroides sp. RNAcentral's name for it is "tRNA-Leu". It matches the Rfam family "tRNA". Rfam says of the family: Transfer RNA (tRNA) molecules are approximately 80 nucleotides in length. Their secondary structure includes four short double-helical elements and three loops (D, anti-codon, and T loops). RNAcentral also lists the same sequence under 1 other name. The record is from RNAcentral. Lineage: Bacteria; Pseudomonadati; Bacteroidota; Bacteroidia; Bacteroidales; Bacteroidaceae.
GCUCGAAUGGUGGAAUGGUAGACACGAGGGACUUAAAAUCCCUUGGCUUCGCGGCCGUGCGGGUUCGAGUCCCGCUUCGAGCA